AGGUUAGUAGUUCAAUUGGUAGAGCGUCGGUCUCCAAAACCGAAUGUUGGGGGUUCGAGUCCCUCCUAACCUGCCA
RNAcentral lists this transfer RNA (76 nucleotides) under Acinetobacter brisouii. RNAcentral describes it as "tRNA-Trp". It matches the Rfam family "tRNA". From Rfam's summary of the family: Transfer RNA (tRNA) molecules are approximately 80 nucleotides in length. Lineage: Bacteria; Pseudomonadati; Pseudomonadota; Gammaproteobacteria; Moraxellales; Moraxellaceae. RNAcentral also lists the same sequence under 6 other names. The record is from RNAcentral.